CCUACGGGAGGCAGCAGUCGAGAAUCAUUCACAAUGGGGGAAACCCUGAUGGUGCGACGCCGCGUGGGGGCAUGAAGGUCUUCGGAUUGUAAACCCCUGUCAUGUGGGAGCAAAUUAAAAAGAUAGUACCACAAGAGGAAGAGACGGCUAACUCUGUGCCAGCAGCCGCGGUAAUACAGAGGUCUCAAGCGUUGUUCGGAAUCACUGGGCGUAAAGCGUGCGUAGGCUGUUUCGUAAGUCGUGUGUGAAAGGCGAGGGCUCAACCCGCGGACUGCACAUGAUAAUGCGAGACUAGAGUAAUGGAGGGGGAACCGGAAUUCUCGGUGUAGCAGUGAAAUGCGUAGAUAUCGAGAGGAACACUCGUGGCGAAGGCGGGUUCCUGGACAUUAACUGACGCUGAGGCACGAAGGCCAGGGGAGCGAAAGGGAUUAGAUACCCGAGUAGUC
This 446-nucleotide ribosomal RNA is filed under the name uncultured bacterium. RNAcentral's name for it is "partial 16S ribosomal RNA". It matches the Rfam family "Bacterial small subunit ribosomal RNA", at positions 338 to 795 of the family's 1533-position model. The record is from RNAcentral.